GAUGAACGCUGGCGGCGUGCCUAAUACAUGCAAGUCGAGCGAACAGACGAGGAGCUUGCUCCUCUGACGUUAGCGACGGACGGGUGAGUAACACGUGGAUAACCUACCUCUCAGACUGGGAUAACUUCGGGAGACCGGAGCUCAUACCGGAUAAUAUAUUGAACUGCAUGGUUCAAUAGUGAAAGACGGUUUUGCUGUCACUUAUCGAUGGAUCCGCGCGGCAUUAGCGAGUUGGUAAGGUAACGGCCUACCAAGGCAACGAUGCGUAGACGACCUGGGAGAGUGAUCGGCCACCUGGGAAGUUAGACACGCUCCAGACUCCUGCGGGAGGCCGCAGUAGGGUAUCGUCCGCAAUGGGCGAGAGCCUUACAGAGCAACGCCGCGUGAGUGAUGAAGGUCUUCGGAUCGUAAAACUCUGUUAUUAGUGAAGAACAAAUGUGUAAGUAACUAUGCACGUAGUGACGGUACCUGAUCAAAAAGCCACGGCUAACUACGUG
RNAcentral lists this ribosomal RNA (497 nucleotides) under uncultured bacterium. RNAcentral's name for it is "partial 16S ribosomal RNA". It matches the Rfam family "Bacterial small subunit ribosomal RNA", at positions 28 to 507 of the family's 1533-position model. The record is from RNAcentral.